This 519-nucleotide ribosomal RNA is filed under the name Neonectria sp. nwa_besc_241i. RNAcentral's name for it is "eukaryotic LSU rRNA". The stretch from base 140 to 293 matches the Rfam family "5.8S ribosomal RNA". Lineage: Eukaryota; Fungi; Ascomycota; Sordariomycetes; Hypocreales; Nectriaceae. The record is from RNAcentral.
UUACCGAGUUUUCAACUCCCAAACCCCUGUGAACAUACCAUACUGUUGCCUCGGCGGUGCCUGUUCCGACAGCCCGCCAGAGGACCCCAAACCCAAAUUUCUUUGAGACGUAUUCUGAGUAACCGAUUAAAUAAAUCAAAACUUUCAACAACGGAUCUCUUGGUUCUGGCAUCGAUGAAGAACGCAGCGAAAUGCGAUAAGUAAUGUGAAUUGCAGAAUUCAGUGAAUCAUCGAAUCUUUGAACGCACAUUGCGCCCGCUAGUAUUCUGGCGGGCAUGCCUGUUCGAGCGUCAUUUCAACCCUCAAGCCCCCGGGCUUGGUGUUGGGGAUCGGCGAGCCUCUGCGCCCGCCGUCCCCUAAAUUUAGUGGCGGUCACGUUGUAACUUCCUCUGCGUAGUAGCACACUUAGCACUGGGAAUCAGCGAGGCCACGCCGUAAAACACCCAACUUUAGAAUGUUUGACCUCGAAUCAGGUAGGACUACCCGCUGAACUUAAGCAUAUCAAUAAGCGGAGGAAGU